AAAACUCUAAGCGGUGGAUCACUCGGCUCAUGGGUCGAUGAAGAACGCAGCAAACUGUGCGUCAUCGUGUGAACUGCAGGACACAUGAACAUCGACAUUUUGAACGCAUAUCGCAGUCCAUGCUGUUAUGUACUUUAAUUAAUUUUAUAGUGCUGCUUGGACUACAUAUGGUUGAGGGUUGUAAGACUAUGCUAAUUAAGUUGCUUAUAAAUUUUUAUAAGCAUAUGGUAUAUUAUUGGAUAAAUAUAAUAAUUUUUAUUCAUAAUAUUAAAAAAUAAAUGAAAAACAUUAUCUCACAUUUGAAUGUGAAAAACGAAGAGAAAUAUUUUCUUUUUCAAUCAAAUAAUACUGAGAAAUGUCUAGCAUAAAAAAUUGAAAUAUUUUUCAUCUAGAAUUGUCUCUUAUUAAUGAUUCGGAAAUAGAAAAAUCUUGGUUAUGUUAUUAUUCUUCGUUGGUUCGUUAAAAAUGGAUAAAUAAAAACUUUGCAUACAAGAAUUAAUAAAAAUGUUAUAACGAAUUUAAUUAAAUGUUUUAUCAUUAUAUAUAAAGAAUUUAUGGCAAGAUAAAGUUAUAUACAACCUCAACUCAUAUGGGACUACCCCCUGAAUUUAAGCAUAUUAAUUAGGGGAGGAAAAGAAACUAACAAGGAUUUUCUUAGUAGCGGCGAGCGAAAAGAAAACAGUUCAGCACUAAGUCACUUUGUCUAUAUGGCAAAUGUGAGAUGCAGUGUAUGGAGCGUCAAUAUUCUAGUAUGAGAAAUUAACGAUUUAAGUCCUUCUUAAAUGAGGCCAUUUACCCAUAGAGGGUGCCAGGCCCGUAUAACGUUAAUGAUUACUAGAUGAUGUUUCCAAAGAGUCGUGUUGCUUGAUAGUGCAGCACUAAGUGGGUGGUAAACUCCAUCUAAAACUAAAUAUAACCAUGAGACCGAUAGUAAACAAGUACCGUGAGGGAAAGUUGAAAAGAACUCUGAAUAGAGAGUUAAACAGUACGUGAAACUGCUUAGAGGUUAAGCCCGAUGAACCUGAAUAUCCGUUAUGGAAAAUUCAUCAUUAAAAUUGUAAUAUUUAAAUAAUAUUAUGAGAAUAGUGUGCAUUUUUUCCAUAUAAGGACAUUGUAAUCUAUUAGCAUAUACCAAAUUUAUCAUAAAAUAUAACUUAUAGUUUAUUCCAAUUAAAUUGCUUGCAUUUUAACACAGAAUAAAUGUUAUUAAUUUGAUAAAGUGCUGAUAGAUUUAUAUGAUUACAGUGCGUUAAUUUUUCGGAAUUAUAUAAUGGCAUAAUUAUCAUUGAUUUUUGUGUUUAUUAUAUGCACUUGUAUGAUUAACAAUGCGAAAGAUUCAGGAUACCUUCGGGACCCGUCUUGAAACACGGACCAAGGAGUCUAACAUAUGUGCAAGUUAUUGGGAUAUAAACCUAAUAGCGUAAUUAACUUGACUAAUAAUGGGAUUAGUUUUUUAGCUAUUUAUAGCUAAUUAACACAAUCCCGGGGCGUUCUAUAUAGUUAUGUAUAAUGUAUAUUUAUAUUAUUUAUGCCUCUAACUGGAACGUACCUUGAGCAUAUAUGCUGUGACCCGAAAGAUGGUGAACUAUACUUGAUCAGGUUGAAGUCAGGGGAAACCCUGAUGGAAGACCGAAACAGUUCUGACGUGCAAAUCGAUUGUCAGAAUUGAGUAUAGGGGCGAAAGACCAAUCGAACCAUCUAGUAGCUGGUUCCUUCCGAAGUUUCCCUCAGGAUAGCUGGUGCAUUUUAAUAUUAUAUAAAAUAAUCUUAUCUGGUAAAGCGAAUGAUUAGAGGCCUUAGGGUCGAAACGAUCUUAACCUAUUCUCAAACUUUAAAUGGGUAAGAACCUUAACUUUCUUGAUAUGAAGUUCAAGGUUAUGAUAUAAUGUGCCCAGUGGGCCACUUUUGGUAAGCAGAACUGGCGCUGUGGGAUGAACCAAACGUAAUGUUACGGUGCCCAAAUUAACAACUCAUGCAGAUACCAUGAAAGGCGUUGGUUGCUUAAAACAGCAGGACGGUGAUCAUGGAAGUCGAAAUCCGCUAAGGAGUGUGUAACAACUCACCUGCCGAAGCAACUAGCCCUUAAAAUGGAUGGCGCUUAAGUUGUAUACCUAUACAUUACCGCUAAAGUAGAUGAUUUAUAUUACUUGUGAUAUAAAUUUUGAAACUUUAGUGAGUAGGAAGGUACAAUGGUAUGCGUAGAAGUGUUUGGCGUAAGCCUGCAUGGAGCUGCCAUUGGUACAGAUCUUGGUGGUAGUAGCAAAUAAUCGAAUGAGACCUUGGAGGACUGAAGUGGAGAAGGGUUUCGUGUGAACAGUGGUUGAUCACGAGUUAGUCGGUCCUAAGUUCAAGGCGAAAGCCGAAAAUUUUCAAGUAAAACAAAAAUGCCUAACUAUAUAAACAAAGCGAAUUAUAAUACACUUGAAUAAUUUUGAACGAAAGGGAAUACGGUUCCAAUUCCGUAACCUGUUGAGUAUCCGUUUGUUAUUAAAUAUGGGCCUCGUGCUCAUCCUGGCAACAGGAACGACCAUAAAGAAGCCGUCGAGAGAUAUCGGAAGAGUUUUCUUUUCUGUUUUAUAGCCGUACUACCAUGGAAGUCUUUCGCAGAGAGAUAUGGUAGAUGGGCUAGAAGAGCAUGACAUAUACUGUUGUGUCGAUAUUUUCUCCUCGGACCUUGAAAAUUUAUGGUGGGGACACGCAAACUUCUCAACAGGCCGUACCAAUAUCCGCAGCUGGUCUCCAAGGUGAAGAGUCUCUAGUCGAUAGAAUAAUGUAGGUAAGGGAAGUCGGCAAAUUAGAUCCGUAACUUCGGGAUAAGGAUUGGCUCUGAAGAUUGAGAUAGUCGGGCUUGAUUGGGAAACAAUAACAUGGUUUAUGUGCUCGUUCUGGGUAAAUAGAGUUUCUAGCAUUUAUGUUAGUUACUUGUUCCCCGGAUAGUUUAGUUACGUAGCCAAUUGUGGAACUUUCUUGCUAAAAUUUUUAAGAAUACUAUUUGGGUUAAACCAAUUAGUUCUUAUUAAUUAUAACGAUUAUCAAUUAACAAUCAAUUCAGAACUGGCACGGACUUGGGGAAUCCGACUGUCUAAUUAAAACAAAGCAUUGUGAUGGCCCUAGCGGGUGUUGACACAAUGUGAUUUCUGCCCAGUGCUCUGAAUGUCAAAGUGAAGAAAUAGCCAAAUGCCUCGUCAUCUAAUUAGUGACGCGCAUGAAUGGAUUAACGACGGACGUGUUUUCGUUGCGCUCGUGGACAUAGUGCGAAGAACUUUGUUUUCCGUAUUUGGAAGUAUACGAAUAAAUAAUUUAGUGUUCCGUGGAAGUGGUGCGCAAAUUUUCGCGAAUUAAAAACAAGCGGUUUGGAAGUAAUUGACAAUAAAUUAUUGGAAAUUUUCCACUCCGCACGUGUUGAGCGGCGAGCUUGCGGGUGAGCUUUUCGAACAGCUGAGAGAAGCUUAUUGGUGGUAGUCACCGCUAAGGAUUGUGUCUUGGGACAGCUUAGUGCACUCUACCAAUAGGUGGAGCUAUCACCAUAGCAACUAGCCCGUGUCAGCGAGCAUACGAUUGCUGGACUCGUCAAAAGGAGGAGCCACCAUCGGAGCAACGCCGAUGGAGAGCGACAGCAGUGUGAGUGCCUUGAGCGGAAGCAGUGCCUCAAAGGUGUCAAGACGAGGCAGGCGUAGAGGCCAUCUGGCCUCCAAGAGCUCGGCGCCAACGCAGGCGAAGCUGGUUGCCCUGGCCUCGAAUGGAGUGCCAGAACCCGUUGGUGUGCUGGAGGAGACGUUUUCAUCGCUGGAGGAUGCCCGGGCGGCUACGUCAAGCGCUGCCAACGAUGCUGCCCCCCCCGCUGCUGCCCCC
Molecule: ribosomal RNA, 3852 nt
Filed under: Drosophila melanogaster (fruit fly)
Lineage: Eukaryota; Metazoa; Arthropoda; Insecta; Diptera; Drosophilidae
Description: eukaryotic LSU rRNA
Rfam family: Eukaryotic large subunit ribosomal RNA (bases 576-3275)
Source: RNAcentral